UCGAGAAUUUUUCACAAUGGGCGAAAGCCUGAUGGUGCGACGCCGCGUGGGGGAUGAAUGGCUUCGGCCCGUAAACCCCUGUCAUUCGCGAGCAAACGUUAUUAUUUAAAAGAUGAUAGCCUGAUAGUAGCGAAAGAGGAAGGGACGGCUAACUCUGUGCCAGCAGCCGCGGUAAUACAGAGGUCCCAAGCGUUGUUCGGAUUUACUGGGCGUAAAGGGUGCGUAGGUGGUGGGGUAAGUCGGAUGUGAAAUCUCCGAGCUCAACUGGGAAAGUGGAUUGGAAACGACCCUGCUGGAGGGGUGGAGGGGGGA
Molecule: ribosomal RNA, 312 nt
Filed under: uncultured bacterium
Lineage: Bacteria
Description: bacterial SSU rRNA
Rfam family: Bacterial small subunit ribosomal RNA
Source: RNAcentral